RNAcentral lists this non-coding RNA (233 nucleotides) under Haloplasma contractile. RNAcentral's name for it is "T-box sequence". It matches the Rfam family "T-box leader". Rfam says of the family: Uncharged tRNA acts as the effector for transcription antitermination of genes in the T-box leader family. T-boxes are found upstream of many aminoacyl-tRNA synthetase genes and some amino acid biosynthetic genes usually in Gram-positive bacteria. The record is from RNAcentral. Lineage: Bacteria; Bacillati; Mycoplasmatota; Mollicutes; Haloplasmatales; Haloplasmataceae.
UGAAUGACCAUGACCAGGAGGAGUAAAGAUGUAUUUUACUUUUUAGAGAGGAACUUCUAGGCUGAAAGAGUUCUAAGUAAACCAUUUUGAAGGUAGCCUGUGAGUUGGUAUGAUGAAAUAAGUAGUGUAGUCAUACCCGUCCGUUUACGUUACAAACAAAAUUGAGUGGCCGUAGAUCAUUUUUAAAUCUAACGGCAAUUAGGAUGGUACCGCGAUUAUAAGUCGUUCCUGUU